Molecule: ribosomal RNA, 253 nt
Filed under: uncultured bacterium
Lineage: Bacteria
Description: partial 16S ribosomal RNA
Rfam family: Bacterial small subunit ribosomal RNA
Source: RNAcentral
UACGGAGGGUGCAAACGUUGCUCGGAAUUAUUGGGCGUAAAGCGCACGUAGGCGGACUGUUAAGUCGGAUGUGAAAGCCCUCGGCUUAACUGAGGAAGUGCAUUCGAAACUAGCAGUCUUGAGUAUGGAAGAGGGUCGCGGAAUUCCCGGUGUAGAGGUGAAAUUCGUAGAUAUCGGGAGGAACACCAGUGGCGAAGGCGGCUACCUGGACUUCAACUGACACUGAGGCACGAAAGCGUGGGGAGCGAACAGG